GAUGAACGCUAGCGAUAGGCCUAACACAUGCAAGUCGAGGGGCAUCACAUGAAGUAGCAAUACGGAUGGUGGCGACCGGCGCACGGGUGAGUAACACGUAUGCAACCUGCCUUCAACAAGGGGAUAACCCGUUGAAAGACGGACUAAUACCCUAUAACACAGGGGUCCCGCAUGGGAAUAUUUGUUAAAGGACAACCGGUUGAAGAUGGGCAUGCGUUCCACUAGCUAGUUGGCGGGGUAACGCCCACCAAGGCAACGAUGGAUAGGGGAACUGAGAGGUUUAUCCCCCACACUGGUACUGAGACACGGACCAGACUCCUACGGGAGGCAGCAGUGAGGAAUAUUGGUCAAUGGACGCAAGUCUGAACCAGCCACGUCGCGUGAAGGAAGACGGCCCUACGGGUUGUAAACUUCUUUUGCAAGGGAAUAAAGUGGGCCACGUGUGGCCUUUUGCAAGUACCUUGCGAAUAAGGAUCGGCUAACUCCGUGCCAGCAGCCGCGGUAAGUACUGACU
Molecule: ribosomal RNA, 514 nt
Filed under: uncultured bacterium
Lineage: Bacteria
Description: bacterial SSU rRNA
Rfam family: Bacterial small subunit ribosomal RNA
Source: RNAcentral